This 2847-nucleotide long non-coding RNA is filed under the name Homo sapiens (human). RNAcentral's name for it is "non-protein coding lnc-UBE2D4-2:3". Lineage: Eukaryota; Metazoa; Chordata; Mammalia; Primates; Hominidae. The record is from RNAcentral.
AGCCCUGUGAAUGCUCAGCCUUGUGAAUGCUCAUCCCGCCGCUGUUCGCUCUCCCGCGGUUGCUGCUUGCAUAGGGUUUCAGAUCCGGAAAUUUGAGGAUGCGAAACGUGAGAUUUUCUCUUCGACAACCUCACGCUAGUACGGGUGAUGGGUGUGCGGCCCACCGGAGCCCGCCCUGCCCAACCUGCACCCUCGGGGCUCGAAGAGGAGCCAAGCGUUUCCCCAGGUCCUAGUUAUGCCUCCAAAUAAUAUUCGUAGAAAAACAAAACAGAAAAACCCUCCAGACUUUUAUCCACAAAUAAAGAAGAAACAUAUUUUGGUUAAAACGUCACCCAAUUCUUCAAGGAUGACUUACGCAGUUAUGCAAGAAUGGGUUUGCCACAUGUGACCACAGUGGUGACUGGCCCCUGAGGAAGGAAAAUUUUAAGUACGGGGAAGGGGCCGGAGGGCAAGGAGAUUCGUGAGAAUAUCGCAGGGCCUGUAAUGCUGAAACCAGUGCGUCGCCACUAUUAUUGGUAUCCAGUAAUUAUUAAUGUCAAACGGAAAAAUAGCAACGCGGGAUAUUUUAUUUUAGAAGUCACCACGGUCAUGGAAAAAACACGGGCUCUGGAGUCAGACCCAUGUAUAACAAUCUUUGUACAGUUAAGACUCAGUUCUAUUAUCUAUAAAAUGGGCCUUAAUAAUAGUACUACCUUAUAGAGCUAUUAGGAUCAAGAGAAUAUUUAAUCAAUGAUGGGUUGUGUUUGGUUGAGUGAUGUGAAAUUGCCAAUGUUUUGGCCGUUCUGGGUCUACAUCAUUCCCCUUAAUGGUACAGUACUUGCAUACUGCUGCGGUUUCCUGUCAGGGGGAGGACUGGAUUAUGAUCCAUGGGAAGGGGAAAUGGAAGAACGGUGGAAAUGAGUUGCCCAUGACCACACUGAGAAGAGGGAAAGAGGGACCAAGACACAAGUCUCUUGACUUCAGUCCAGCCCAUUUCCCAUGACCAAGAUUCCUCUGAUUACAUGAAGGAACUGCGGCCCCCAACUGUUAUGCAUAUUGAAUAAAGGGACAGAACAGGGAUGAGGUGCCCUCCAAUGCAUACUUUGCAAAUGUGGUGAGGAACAUGGGAUGUGGCAUCUGAAUUGCCUGAGUCCAAAUCGUGGACCCAAUGCUUCCUGGCUGUGUAAUUUGGACAAGUGACUGAACCUUCUGAGCCUCGGUUUCUCUCAUCUGUAAACUGGGGACAAUAAUGGUGGUUGUGAGAAGUACAGUAUGAUGUGCCUGGCAGAGGGAGAGAGCAGUUGUGGGUUUUGUUGUUGUUUUUAACGAGUCCCUGAUAGCCACAUAUCCCGUUAGGGAGAUGAGCCAGCUAUUGAGGGUUCUGUGAGAACUCAUAGCAACACCACCCUAAUCAGAGGAAAGGGGAAGGAGAAAGGGAAACAAGAUCCUUGGGCUGAUCAGAGGCAGAGGUGGCAAUGGCACAACACCUAUUGGGGCCCAAGGUGGGCAGGGGCCACACCACGAAGGCUGUGGUUGGGAAUCAAGUUUAGCCCAUAAAGCAGUAGGCAAUCAAAUGAUCAAAUUUAUGCUUUCCUCUAUUCAAGCCAUUCUCCCUUAUGCCUGAGAUCUCUCUCUGGAAUUCCAAACCGAUCUAGAUCUUUCCAAGCAUCACAAUGGCCAUUUCAGUGGCAGACAUUUCUGGGGUUCAAAUAUCUUGUUAUCUAUCCUUUAUUAGCUUUGUUUAUACUGUGAUUGGGGGAAAGGGGACGUGUCGGUCUUUACAUGAUUAAAAUUACUUAAAAUGACUUUUAUACAUCAGUAUGAAUGUUAUAUUGUUUUAAAUAAUCAGCAGAAAAAUCUGACUGGGGAUGUUUUAUUUUUCUGUAACUUCCAUUUGUUGUUGUUUUGAUGCACUUUCCUUCUCCUAUUAAUUCCAUAAAGGAGGCAGUAUUUCCAGGCUUCACAGAGCAGAAGAUGGAGGCUCACAGACUCACCUGAGGUUACAGAAGUAGUAAAUGGUAGCAGGCCUUUUUGCUCCAAAGCAUGUGCUCUUUCAGUAUCACUUCCUGGGGGUGAGGGUUCAGACCAUGUUAGGAUCAGGGAAUGGCCUGGGUUUCUGUGGCUUGCUGCAGACAGCUCCCAAGUGGCCCUCAAGGACUGCCUGGACAUGGAAAGGCCAGGAGCAUAUGACCCCAUGUGAAAGACCCAUCUGCACCCUUCCUGGAGCCUAAUGCAGAGACAGGGAUGUAAAACUGCUUUUUCUCUGACAUGAGCCUUUGUUCUGUACAUAAUAACCAAGAACCAGAAGUUGCUCCUAUGCUCUCAAAGCAGUGAUUUGCAAUUGCAUGACAGAGCCCCCUGGGUUCCACACCACCUCUGUGGGGAGAGGGCAGGCACUCACACUUUUAAAAUGCCCCUUAGAUGAUUUCAAUUUGCAGUCGGGGCUGAGAACCAGUGUCCUGAACUCACUCAGUUUAUUUGGGAGACUCCCAAAAUGUGUAUUUGCAGAGCCCCCUUUCGGGGAGAGUGCUGUUGGAUGCCCCUGGAAGAUUAUGGCAGCUCUCUAAGGAACAUAGCCAUAGUCCACGCCCACCACUCUUGGUCACAAGGGCAGAAGAAGGGAGGAGGGGUCUGCUGGGAGGUCAGGACUUCUUUGAGAUGAUCUGUCCAGUUGGGUGCAGCACAGCCACCAUGGGCUCACCCAGAGUGCUCAGGGGAUACAGCACUGGCUGGGCCAUGGAGAGACACUGUGUAAAAGGGAGCUGUCAGCCCCCUUGUACUUCCAGAGCCUGAAGAGUUUCAGAAUCCAGCCUGGGGGCGGUGGGGUGACAUCUCCCUUCCUGUUGGCUGCAGGGUGAGCCGAUAUCA